GGUAUCUUUAUGCUGCUCCAAGGCGCUUUCAGAACUGCUAUACAGAACAGGAAAACAGCAUUAAAUUGGUUUCUGGGAGUAGAAAUCACCGCUGUUGUUCACUUUGAAUGUCAUGGACCGACAAAAACACAAGCAGGCACAAGCUGCGCCCGACCGGACACUGCGCCAGGAAGGAACAUGUACCGUUUUGGUGCAGUCACAGCUUUAAACUGCUGGCCUGCCAACUGCAGCGCUGCCUCCCACUGAAAACAAAGAGAGGCAGACACCAUGCAGAAACACGUGGAAUUUUGGCAAGGUUUUCAUGCCGAAAUUCUGCUGGCAGAUUCCACCGCGUGAAUGGAACCUUAAAAUGAUUGUAUGUGUAUAGUGUAUAACACUGUUUUCCAAACUGCAUUCCCUAAUUACUUAUAAGAAUUUAGAAAAUUUCAAGAAGUUCAGGAAUUGAUUCCAAUAAAUAUGUUUUUUGUUCUAA
Molecule: long non-coding RNA, 472 nt
Organism: Bufo gargarizans (Asiatic toad)
Lineage: Eukaryota; Metazoa; Chordata; Amphibia; Anura; Bufonidae
Exons: 2
Source: RefSeq, a predicted model, not a curated record